RNAcentral lists this long non-coding RNA (6491 nucleotides) under Cricetulus griseus (Chinese hamster). RNAcentral describes it as "lncRNA (ENSCGRG00015038457.1)". Lineage: Eukaryota; Metazoa; Chordata; Mammalia; Rodentia; Cricetidae. The record is from RNAcentral.
GUGCAAGCAGAAUGCCGUUUAUUUGGGGGAAUAGGGAGUCUUGCCGCAUGGUGGAAACCCCGGGGGUGAAAAGGUCACAGUCACAGCCUGAAAGGCAUGCUGCAAAUGUUUGUCUCAGUGCUCAGCUGUGCUGCAAAAGGAAUCACAAAACGUUUCAGCUGGAAACCACAAGCUUGACCCAAACAUAACCCCAAAAGGGGAACCAGCAGGGCCCUACAUUCAAGCAUCAGAACCAACAAGACUCCCUGGGUGGCAUCGGGAUUCAGAUGGUUCCUGAGAAUGCCAGAAUACCUUUCCAUCCAAGCGGUAACACUCAGUAUUCUUUGGCUCCUGAGGCCACAAUCCACCCCUGUCCAUCCCAUCCGAUCCGUGUCUCGGACAGGCUCUCCUGGUGUCUGUGCUCCCCACGGUGCACUGGGGCCCUAUCCCUCAUCUCCAGUCGGCCUGCAGCAGACUCGCCUUCUGGCUCGGCUCGCCCGGAUGGCUCAGUGCUCCAUCCACCAUCAACAACUGUGCCCCUCGCCCAAUCCGUGAGAAGUGUUGUAGUGCUGGAGCUACAAGUGGAGGUCCCACUGAGAUCAGGAAAGAAGGGAAGAGGCUGAAGGAUCACCCCGGAAGGCUGGUCGGCAUUCUCAUUAAGGUAAGGAGCUGGUGUAUUGAACAGGGGUGCCACUAGUUCCUACUCUCUUAUGGGGGACCAACUGGUAUCAAACAUAAGACAGCAAAAGGCUGAAAGGGGUAAACUAAACUAAAAGGCUUCACUUCUAGGAAUGAAGGGACUAGACCCUCACUCAGCCUCUGCUUCAGAAGCCAAGACAGGCUACAGAAAAGACACAUAGGCCUUUAACACAAGAAAACCCCAGAUCCUAGGUGGACGCGCUAUUAGGUAGACCUGGAGGAACUGGGAGACACCCUCUUCCUCGUCAGGACAGGGGCCCAUCUGGGGCCAUCCCAUCGUGAUCCCUGGAUCCCAACUGUUUUUCUGAAAGUUAGGAGGACGAUGAGCCCCUGGUGGGCCUUCGUCCAACCGUAGGGUUUUUGACCUGAUAGAGCCUGGCCAAGACCGACCCUCUGAUUUCUGCAGAACUCUGGUACUCUGUCUUGGAACUCUGACAAUCUGUCUUGGGCCCCUUUCUUUUGUCUAAGUGCUGUGUUUGUUGUUUGUCUUGUUUUGGCUUCUCUUGACCGUACUGACAAUAUGGACCUGACUGGGACAAAGCCUACCAUGGGACACCCACCCUCCUCCUCUCUAGAUCUCUGCCUGACACAUCGAAAGGACAUGAAACAGAGAAUCUGGGAUUGUGACUGAAAAUUUUUUUUUUCUUUCAGAAACACAGGCAGACAAUGACACUCUGUGCUCUCCAGCACCUCUCUUCUUCCCUGCCUUCCUAAUUAUGCCAGUCUAUAUACUUUGGGAAGCUUUAAAAGCCAAAGAUUCAUUAUGUUUUUUUAAAAAAUUAUGCUUUUACUUCCACUGGAAAAAAAUUAUAUGGGUUAAUAGUCAUGGUGGCUGCACACAGCGGCUUCCAUGAGAGAUGGAUCACCCCAGCUGCUGGCUGAGGCCAGUACUCCUCUGCUGGAUCCUGGUGCCUGGACACAGUCUUUUUGCACUGCACCUUGUCUUGGGCAGCUAAGAGCCAACUCAAGUAGAAUGGCCAAGGUACAGGUUUUAAUGGAUUAAUAUAUCAACCAUCCUUUAGUAUGCUAUUCAUUUGCCAUCUGUAUGUCCUUGGUAAUAAAAUGUCUAUUCAUGGCUUUUGCUCAUUUUCUACUUGGAUCAUUUGUUCAUGUCACUGUUGAGCUUCAGAUAGGUUCUCUAUCAGAUGUGUGGUUGCUUAACUUUUUCACAUAACUUGUCCCAGGGAAAAAUAAGUUCAUUUUACCAACCUUCGAGCAUGGCUGAUCAUUGACCAAAGAGAUUCGGGGCUGGAAAUGUCCCUCAGUUGGUAGAGCAAGAUACUCCUAUUUCUAACUUGUGCCCCCCCCCUUUUAGGGAACAAUAAAAUCUACUCUGUUAACUAGAGUUUUCUGUUCUAAAAAGCUGUAUAAACUUUAUAACUUAACAGUCACCUAGGUAAUAAUGGUUUUAAGGACAUAAAAGAUAAAAGAUAUUUUAUUUUUGCUAUAAGUUACCUCCUUCCCUCAGCCUAGACAGAGGGGUAAUCUAGUCAGCUUCUACCAACAAACUGCUGCUGGACAUAAUUCAUUUACCUUUUUGCCUUUUAUUUUGGUCACUGACAGUUUUCUUCUUUCACUGGCUCUGUUCCACAUGGUUUGUUUUCGGAAUGUCGUGCCUUCUCAGGGCCUGGUAGGGCACGCGUUUCACGGAAAAACUCUUCCUGUUCCACCUACAGCCAAUCUACAUUCUUGUCACGCACAGUUUUAAGUUACUCUGUCUCCUUAAAUGUUCUGUCUGAUUGCUAAGUUAAAACCAAUUACAGUCAAGAUAGAGGGCUCUGAGUAAAUAUCCCUCCACAGCCUCUCAGUUUGAAUCCAGUUCUCCAGACAGACCCUGCACUAAUGUCAUUGUACCCAUUUUAAGUACCGAAAAAUUUAUAACAGAGAUAAACCUUACUCAGUCCCCUAUGUAUGUUUUCAAAGGUUAAGCUUAAAACAAACAACUAAAAACAAAAUUGUCUAUCCAGAUUUACCCAGACAAUAAUCUUGAUGCUUUCAGAGAUCUACAGAAUAUAAUUUACUAAAAAACUUAAUCCCAGAUCCUGACAGUCUCCAAAGAAGAUUACAGGACACCUCGAUGUCUACACAACCCUGAGCAGGGAGCAGGGUGCCCCAAUGCACACCUGCUACCAGGACCUUGCCCUGGGCCAUGAACAAGUGACAGGAUAUUGGAAAAUUGAUUCUACCCCUUUUGUCUAGACAAAAUAAGGUCAGUCUUUUCCAUGUCCCUCUCUCACAAACAAACAAAAAAAGCCACUCACUUGUAGGCCUGGCAAAGAUGGAUGCUGUUCUUUAAUACUUCUGCCUGCCAAUAGAGACUUGCUAUUGGCUAUGGAUAUGGCUAACUGUAUAUGGACUGGACCCUGUCAUUUUUAAUAGAUUCCAAAUCUGUAUAAAAUUUAUCCUUCUCAGAUCUCUGAUAGUAUCAAUGGCUAAACUAUAGCCAGCUUGAUAGCUCAUUUAAUAAAUUUCUGAUAAGCUGAUAGAGCAGUGCCUACCUGCUGGUCAGUCACAAGCUCAAGGUUUUUAGACUUAUUUUUGGUUGCCAUCUAAAUAUAAACUUAAAGGGCUUUUCAUCAGGGCAAAGGCACCUCUGUACAAUCUAUACCUGGCUCUCUGGACAGAUGAAAAAUGUACAAGCUUCUAACUCAAAUCUAUAGUUUUUUCUAGGGCUCAAAGGUAUAAAUUUGAGCUCCUGUCAAAAUUGCUCCUGUCAUUUUGCAGAUACUCAAUAUCUGUUGAAAGACCAGGAUAAAGAAAUAGUCCCCUCACCCCCCUGCAGCAGACAGAAUAGGGCCAAGAAUAUAGGUUGGCUGGUUCAGCGACUCUGUUCCAGAGUGACUUUGUUCCAGGAACUGGCAGACCAUAAAAGUUAUAGCCGGUUCAGCAACUCUGUUCCAGGAAUAGGCUAGCCAUAAAGAGUUAGAUUAGAAUCUUGUAAACAAUCUUAAGAAACAGGGAGUUUCCCCUUGGGACUUUCCACUGAUAUUCUUGGUAUUUCUCAGUAACGCCCUCCCUACCCCCUUGCCCUUCUGGGUUGUGGUUUUUCCCUUUAAAUACCACUUCCCGCAGCCAUUCGGGGUCGAACUCCUCUACCCCUGCGUGGGAUAGGAGUCUCAGACCCAGCACACUGGUUCCUGUUAAUAAACCUCGUGUGAUUGCAGCAAGGACGGUCUCGCGUGAGUUCUUGGGGGGUGGCGUCAUCCCGAGACUUGAGUGAGGGUCUCCCCUCUGCGGGGGUCUUUCACUGUUUUUUUCUAUUUCAGUACAGAUUGGUAAUGCUAAUAUGUCUAAAACUGUUAUGUUCUUUUAUAUAAUAAAGUUCAUAUAGGCUUCAGAGGAUCAAAAGUCAUAAAGCUUAGAUCUGCUUCUCACAGGUCAUAAGGACUCCAGAUAAGUACAGCUUUUUGUUAUCCCACCUGUCUGUUCAUGAUAAUGGGAUUUUCUCCCCUGGUAUUAGGACUCCUGCCCUUUCUGAUCACUAAAACUUAUGAACCUAAGAGUUCUGAUUAAGUAUAUAAAUUUUAAUUUCUGCUCCCAGUUUAAACAUGUCUCAAAGAGGUUUACCCUUCUGGUUUCUGUCCUGGCAGACACACCUGGGCAUCAGUUGCUGAGUACAGCCUGUUCCUAAAGACUACGAGCUCUAGAUUUGCUGUGGAUAUAAACCAGUCCAACAGAUGUAAACACUAUUUGUUUCUUCAACAGAGUCUGCCAAUCAGAUAUUUCUGAUUAAUAACCCAUAGCCUAAAUUCCCUCUUUGCUUUUGACUGGUAUUUCAGCCUCCUUCGACCCCUGACUACAACACCCCAAAGUCAGCAGGAAGUAGCACAGAAAAGAAUACGUCAUCGCUUUUCCCUGGUUGAGAUGCUAAGUCAAAGAAAAAUUCCCUUACAAGAUGACAGUAAAAAUUGUCCACUAGUAACCCAGGAUUGGGUUACGCAAAAGGAGAGGCAGGAAUGGAAGGGGCAAACUAAACUCAAAGGCUUCACUUCUAGGAAUGAAGGGACCAGACCCUCACUCAGCCUCUGCUUUAGAAGCCAAGACAGGAUACAGAAGAGACACAUAGGCCUUUAACACAAGAAAACCCCAGAUCCUCUGGCCUCCCAGAGCCUAGGGACAGAACUGAACACAAAGAAACUCCAGAUACCACCCCCACCAGCCUCCUAGGUACUUGGUUCCUGGGAACUGUUUGGACACAAAAGAAACUCCAAGGGAGACCAAAACCUCCCCUAUAGUCUCCAGAACACAGUUCUGAAAACUAUUGGUAUCUAUGAACAACAGGCCACCUGCAAGUAACAAGACAACGCCAUAAAAACCACAGAAUGUUCCCUCUCAGCACUGACCAAUGAGAAUACCUGUAUACAGGUAUUUCAUGCCAAAAUAUAACUUUGAGAAAUUCUCCUGAUUGUUCCCAAAUGUCAACCAAUCAGAAACCAACCCUAACCUACUGAUGCAAUUCUGUAACUUUUGUCUUUAAAACCUAGCAGUAGACAGGGAACUUCACCCACUCUGGACACUACUGUGUCAGCUUGCUAGACUGGGUCCCUCCUGCGGUGUAGGAUAAAGAAUUUAUUUAUUUAUUUAUUUAUUUAUUUAUUUUUUGGUUUUUCGAGAUAGGGUUUCUCUGUGUAGCUUUGGAGCCUAUCCUGGCACUCGCUCUGGAGACCAGGCUGGCCUCGAACUCAGAGGUCCGCUUGCCUCUGCCUCCCGAGUGCUGGGAUUAAAGGCGUGCGCCACCAAUGCCAGCAGGAUAAACAAUUUAAUAAAACUUGUGCACUUGCAUCGGUGGUCCGUCUACCUGGUCUCUUUGGGGAUUCUUGUGACUCGGGCACAACAGACACCACAUUAUGGGACAAGUUGUCGCUUCUGCCUUGCAGGGAAAUAGGAAGGUCAGUGAGGGGCCAGACCUAAGACAUGCUUUGGAUAUGGGCAAAUGGGCCACUUUAAGAAAAAUUGUCCUGCUAAGUACUCUGUUGCACCCCCUUGCCGAGGGCCAGGUCUUUGUGCCCGCUGUAAAAAUGGACAUCGUUGUGAAAGGGGAAAAUUAAUAAAAGUCUAAAACCCAGACUCCAAAGCCCAGAAAGAAAACUCUGAGUUCCCAAAAGGCAACUCAGCAGACAAGGUCAAACAAAGGUCCACAGGACUCAAGGCCUUAGACCAAAUAUCACACCCCAAAAUGGUGCCCACAUUCCUCUGGUCCAAAGAGGAUCAGAUAGUCAUCAAUUGUAGAAGUCCACAGCCCAGGAGACAAUUAACAAAGUCAUUUCCUCUGCAGCAUCCUGCUUAAUUGUACCUUGCAUAAAAGCAUUGUCCUGUCCUGGGUAACCACGGAAGUUUUGUAAUCUUGGGGUUUCCAGUCUUACAAUUUCCCCUUAUAAAAACACCCCUCAGUUGAAAGUGGGUACUCCAUUUGUUCCCGAAUGAAUGGGGUCCUUGCUGCAGCUCGUAUCCUCGAGUCAAUAAAGAAAGCUUUGUCCUUGCAUUCGGUGAGUCGUCUCCUUGUUGUCGGGUUCUUUUGGGGUUCUGAAAUCUGGGCACAACAAUUGGGGCAAUAAAUGUCAAUCAAAGACUGAUGUACAGUGUAACCCUCUGUCACCUCCAGGAAAUUGGAGUCGGGGUCCGCUCCAGGGCCCUCACACCAAGGAGCCCUAGAUACACCGGUUUCUCACUCUAUUCAGGUCCUACCCCAGAGAAACCCCUUUGUAUCUAGGAACUUAUCAGAGGUACCUCAGGAAGCACAGAACUGGACCUCUGCUCCUCCAUGAGCCCAAUACUCCUCAGAUGGAACCCCAAGCUUUGGGCACAGGAGUCCA